Molecule: long non-coding RNA, 2290 nt
Organism: Aquila chrysaetos chrysaetos
Lineage: Eukaryota; Metazoa; Chordata; Aves; Accipitriformes; Accipitridae
Exons: 2
Source: RefSeq, a predicted model, not a curated record
UUAAGAGUUUGGGUUCACAGCUUUUCUGAGGAAUGCUUAUCUUCAUGCAAACACAUCUUUCCAUAGCCCACUGCUUACACCUGGGACACAACUGUUAAUAGUUUCAGCAGUACCAGUGAUGUACUUAGCGCUUCUCUAGUCCAGCAUUCGUGAUGGAUGGUGACAAUUUCUAAUAUCUGAUCCUUAGCGUCUGAAGAUUUCAUGCUCAAUAAAUCUCAUGCAUUUCUUUUUUCUUAUUUGUCUGAGAACAAAACUUCCAAUGACUUUUCUGUGAUUGCCUUGGUUCAUUCUGCUUUAGCUGGCACCUGUUUGUUGAUUAGCUCAUCUAAGGAAAUUAAGUCCUGCACUGGUCUGGCAGACAGUGUGUAUGUUCUUGUGCGCAGGUGGAGAACUUGAAAAACAUAGCCUGUUAUUGGUAAAUGCAAUAAAAAUGCUAGGGAGUAACUUGCAAGAUUUUGCCGGACACAUAGAUCCAAACAGGCUAUUGCUAAGCGGGUACUGUAGACAAACACAGCUGAGUGGGUGAAAAAGCACAUAGAGGAUGGUCACAAUCAAAGAAAAUACAUUUUCAUGUAAUAAGAAAGGAGAGAACCCUCUGUCUUCUCAUAUUACAGAUACUGUGGUUUAUGAUUUUCUUUUUUAAGGUUUUUUUUGUUGUUUUUUUUCUGUUUGGUUGGUUUUUUUAAACUAAGCGUGGAAUAUAUUAUCCCAGGACAUUACUUAAGUGCUUCAGGAGUUAACCAUAUGGAGACUCAUAGCUGCAUCCCUCAAGUUUCCUGUGGCAUUAAAAACCUUACUGACUAAUCAGCACAAUAAAAAUACAUUAUCCUUUGUACAGUUUCUUCUGGAGAUAGUCUUGGCUUGAAGAGACAAAAUACAGUCUAAAGCUUCAUCCUCACAGGUCUUCUGGGACACCGGGCUCUAAAACUUAGUUCUUUUUGAAUAGCAGAAGAUGCAAAGCCAGCUCAUACUGUCUCCAAAACAGAUCAGCAUCUGCAUGUCAGCAUGUAAAACAGAACAGCGAAGAACAUGAGAUCAUUAGAUCUUGCCAAGGUUUGUCCAGUCAGGCUUCCUGUAAUGUGAUACUAAAUCUAGCAACAGAGGGAUACUGGAAAACCUAAGUGCAAUUCCUUCACAGGCAAUAAUAUGCCAUUAUAUCUUGUCUAAAUGGUUGGUUUCAUCAGUACUACUUGAUGUUAUCUAACUUGAUGUUAUCUAAAUUGUUAUCUAAUUUGAUGUUAACAGGAAAGCUUUGUAGUUGUGUAGGCAAACUCAAGCAAUCAUUACAAUGAAGAUGACUUUCAGCUUCUUCCUUUUUUGCCCCCAGAUUGAGCCCCCAUUGAGCUAGAAUCAGCACAAGGAGACAUGACCUCAUGCAUAAAAAUAUGCAGCUUCGGAUUACUUUUUUUCAUCUAUGGCUAAUCUAUCUAUGGCUAAUGAUGCAACUGCUACCUUCACCAGGGAGCACAACCCUCAUUUUUUAACAGUUUUUGAAGAGCACGAGUAUGUUUCCCACCACACAGUUGAGUUCCCUCACCUAUAGGUAAGUAAAGCUACAAUGAGAGAAGUCCUAAGAGGACAGCUGGGAGAAAAUAAGACAGCCAGCAAAUGUUACAGUUGUCUGCAUUCAGAAGAGCCUGGGAGAGAUCCACUUAGAAGCAGCAUUGAAUCCACUCCCCUUGGGGAUCCACUUGUUCUGGUGCCACCAACACCAGGCAAGUAGCCUAUUUCCUGGUUGUCUCAAUAGCUGAGACUUUUCUGGACAGAUGCACAAUUUUUUUUUAACAUAAGUUAACAGAGUUUUGUACCUUAUCAGUCCCUCUGUAUUCCUCGUAUGUUUUCACGGGGAGCUGGGUUGGUCCCUUUACGUGGGCUGCAGGACACACUUAGGGUCAGUGCAGUGUUUGCUCCUCAAAGUAUAUCCUUAUACAUUGUUUGGAUUUCCAGUGUGUAAAGUGACAGAGCUUUCCAGCACAGGAAUGAAGAAAGAAGAAAUCCUGUAGGGAAAAAAAAGCAACAGUUCAGCAGCAGGUAGCUGUCGUGAAUCCUUCGCCAUGGUGCUAGCUAUCUCAAGUCUUGGAGAAAGACCAAGGCACCCAAGCAGAAAUAUGCCGCGCUCCAAGACAAUGCAGCACCAUAUGACCAGUCCCGUCCGCAGCCUUUUUUCUCUUCAGCCAGCAGCCGCCCUCCAUACAUAUACCUCUUCUGCAGGUGGAUCACCUAAGGACUGUAUCCCUGCCAGGGAUUUGAAAAAUUAUUAUUAAUAAUAAUAAUAAAAAAAUACUCCAAC